GGCGUGCGGGUGCUCACUACGCAGUCGAACGCUGAAGCCGCUUCGGUGGUGGAUGAGUGGCGAACGGGUGAGUAACACGUGGGCAAUCUGCCCUGUACUUCGGGAUAAGCCUUGGAAACGGGGUCUAAUACCGGAUAGGACACUGCUCCGCAUGGGGUGGUGUGGAAAGCUUCGGCGGUAUGGGAUGAGCCCGCGGCCUAUCAGCUUGUUGGUGGGGUGAUGGCCUACCAAGGCGACGACGGGUAGCCGGCCUGAGAGGGUGACCGGCCACACUGGGACUGAGACACGGCCCAGACUCCUACGGGAGGCAGCAGUGGGGAAUAUUGCACAAUGGGCGGAAGCCUGAUGCAGCGACGCCGCGUGAGGGAUGACGGCCUUCGGGUUGUAAACCUCUUUCGCCCGGGACGAAGCGUAACAGUGACGGUACCGGGAGAAGAAGCACCGGCUAACUACGUGCCAGCAGCCGCGGUAAUACGUAGGGUGCGAGCGUUGUCCGGAAUUAUUGGGCGUAAAGAGCUCGUAGGCGGUGUGUCACGUCUGCCGUGAAAACCUGCGGCUUAACCGUGGGCGUGCGGUGGAUACGGGCAUCACUUGAGUUCGGCAGGGGAGACUGGAAUUCCUGGUGUAGCGGUGGAAUGCGCAGAUAUCAGGAGGAACACCGGUGGCGAAGGCGGGUCUCUGGGCCGAUACUGACGCUGAGGAGCGAAAGCGUGGGGAGCGAACAGGAUUAGAUACCCUGGUAGUCCACGCCGUAAACGUUGGGCGCUAGGUGUGGGACGCUGUUCACGUGUUCCGUGCCGUAGCUAACGCAUUAAGCGUCCCGCCUGGGGAGUACGGCCGCAAGGCUAAAACUCAAAGGAAUUGACAGUGGCCCGCACAAUCGCCGGACCAUGUGGAUUAAUUCUAUGUAACUCUGAAUAACUUUACCUAGGACUUGACAUGUACCCGGAUCUCCUCACAGAUGGAAUUUCUCUUGUCGCUGGUGCAUAGGUGGCGCUCG
This 1000-nucleotide ribosomal RNA is filed under the name Saccharomonospora sp. ZZY-2013. RNAcentral's name for it is "bacterial SSU rRNA". It matches the Rfam family "Bacterial small subunit ribosomal RNA", at positions 41 to 1047 of the family's 1533-position model. Lineage: Bacteria; Bacillati; Actinomycetota; Actinomycetes; Pseudonocardiales; Pseudonocardiaceae. The record is from RNAcentral.